UUAAAUUGAAGRGUUUGAUCAUGGCUCAGAUUGAACGCUGGCGGCAGGCCUAACACAUGCAAGUCGAACGGUAACAGG
Molecule: ribosomal RNA, 78 nt
Filed under: Escherichia coli
Lineage: Bacteria; Pseudomonadati; Pseudomonadota; Gammaproteobacteria; Enterobacterales; Enterobacteriaceae
Description: partial 16S ribosomal RNA
Rfam family: Bacterial small subunit ribosomal RNA
Source: RNAcentral